GUGGGGAAUAUUGGACAAUGGACGAAAGCCUGAUCCAGCCAUGCCGCGUGUGUGAAGAAGGUCUUCGGAUUGUAAAGCACUUUAAGUUGGGAGGAAGGGCAGUAAGUUAAUACCUUGCUGUUUUGACGUUACCGACAGAAUAAGCACCGGCUAACUUCGUGCCAGCAGCCGCGGUAAUACGAAGGGUGCAAGCGUUAAUCGGAAUUACUGGGCGUAAAGCGCGCGUAGGUGGUUUUGUAAGUUGGAGGUGAAAUCCCCGGGCUCAACCUGGGAACUGCCUCCAAAACUGCAUGACUAGAGUACGGUAGAGGGUAGUGGAAUUUCCUGUGUAGCGGUGAAAUGCGUAGAUAUAGGAAGGAACACCAGUGGCGAAGGCGACUACCUGGACUGAUACUGACACUGAGGUGCGAAAGCGUGGGGAGCAAACAGGAUUAGAAACCCCAGUAGUCC
This 450-nucleotide ribosomal RNA is filed under the name uncultured bacterium. RNAcentral's name for it is "partial 16S ribosomal RNA". It matches the Rfam family "Bacterial small subunit ribosomal RNA", at positions 354 to 796 of the family's 1533-position model. The record is from RNAcentral.